GGGAUUGUAGUUCAAUCGGUCAGAGCACC
RNAcentral lists this non-coding RNA (29 nucleotides) under Mus musculus (house mouse). RNAcentral also lists the same sequence under 1 other name. The record is from RNAcentral. Lineage: Eukaryota; Metazoa; Chordata; Mammalia; Rodentia; Muridae.